GACGAACGCUGGCGGCGUGCUUAACACAUGCAAGUCGAACGGUAAGGCCCUUCGGGGUACACGAGUGGCGAACGGGUGAGUAACACGUGGGUGAUCUGCCCUGCACUUCGGGAUAAGCCUGGGAAACUGGGUCUAAUACCGGAUAGGACCACUGCCUGCAUGGGUGGUGGUGGAAAGCUUUUGCGGUGUGGGAUGGGCCCGCGGCCUAUCAGCUUGUUGGUGGGGUGAUGGCCUACCAAGGCGACGACGGGUAGCCGGCCUGAGAGGGUGACCGGCCACACUGGGACUGAGAUACGGCCCAGACUCCUACGGGAGGCAGCAGGGGGGAAAAUUGCACAAUGGGCGCAAGCCUGACGCAGCGACGCCGCGUGAGGGAUGACGGCCUUCGGGUUGUAAACCUCUUUCAGCACCGACGAAGCGCAAGUGACGGUAGGUGCAGAAGAAGGACCGGCCAACUACGUGCCAGCCGCCGCCGUAA
Molecule: ribosomal RNA, 478 nt
Filed under: uncultured bacterium
Lineage: Bacteria
Description: partial 16S ribosomal RNA
Rfam family: Bacterial small subunit ribosomal RNA
Source: RNAcentral